Molecule: ribosomal RNA, 497 nt
Filed under: uncultured bacterium
Lineage: Bacteria
Description: partial 16S ribosomal RNA
Rfam family: Bacterial small subunit ribosomal RNA
Source: RNAcentral
GAUGAACGCUGGCGGCGUGCCUAAUACAUGCAAGUCGAGCGAACAGAUGAGGAGCUUGCUCCUCUGACGUUAGCGGCGGACGGGUGAGUAACACGUGGAUAACCUACCUAUAAGACUGGGAUAACUUCGGGAAACCGGCGCUAAUACCGGAUAAUAUAUUGAACCGCAUGGUUCAAUAGUGAAAGACGGUUUUGCUGUCUCUUAUAGAUGGAUCCGCGCCGCAUUAGCUAGUUGGUAAGGUAACGGCUUACCAAGGGAACGAUGCGUAGCCGACCUGAGAGGGGGAUCGGCCACACGGGAACUGAGCCACGGUCCAGACUCCUACGGGAGGCAGCAGUAGGGAAUCUUCCGCAAUGGGCGAAAACCUGGCGGAGCAACGCCGCGUGAGUGAUGAAGGUCUUCGGAUCGUAAAACUCUGUUAUUAGUGAAGAACAAAUGUGUAAGUAACUAUGCACGUCGUGACGGUACCUAAUCAGAAAGCCACGGCUAACUACGUG